AACCCGGCUACAUGAAGCUGGAAUCGCUAGUAAUCGCGGAUCAGAAUGCCGCGGUGAAUACGUUCCCGGGUCUUGUACACACCGCCCGUCACACCAUGGGAGUUGGAAAUGCCCGAAGUCAGUGGCCCAACCGCAAGGAGGGAGCUGCCGAAGGCAGGUCCGGUAACCGGGGUGAAGUCGUAACAAGGUAAC
RNAcentral lists this ribosomal RNA (192 nucleotides) under uncultured bacterium. Its description in RNAcentral is "partial 16S ribosomal RNA". It matches the Rfam family "Bacterial small subunit ribosomal RNA", at positions 1309 to 1500 of the family's 1533-position model. The record is from RNAcentral.